GAUGAAGAACGUAGUGAAAUGCGAUACGUAAUGUGAAUUGCAGAAUUCAGUGAAUCAUCGAAUCUUUGAACGCAUAUUGCGCUCUCUGGUAUUCCGGAGAGCAUGCUUGUUUGAGUAUCAGUAAACACCUCAACUCCCCUUUCUUUUUUUGAAAUGGGAGCUGGACUUGAGUGAUCCCAACGCUUUUCUCACCGAAAAGUGGCGGGUUACUUGAAAUGCAGGUGCAGCUGGACUUUUCUCUGAGCUAAAAGCAUAUCUAUUUAGUCUGCCUAAAAAACAGAUUAUUACCUUUGCUGCAGCUAACAUAAAGGAGAUUAGUUCUUGUGCUGACUGAUGCAGGAUUCACAGAGACAGCUUCGGCUGGCCUUUGUAAACUCGAUCUCAAAUCAAGUAAGACUAACCGCUGAACUUAAGCAUAUCAAUAAGCGGAGGA
This 433-nucleotide unclassified non-coding RNA is filed under the name soil metagenome. Its description in RNAcentral is "partial contains 5.8S ribosomal RNA, internal transcribed spacer 2, and large subunit ribosomal RNA". The stretch from base 1 to 120 matches the Rfam family "5.8S ribosomal RNA", at positions 35 to 154 of the family's 154-position model. The record is from RNAcentral.